This 460-nucleotide ribosomal RNA is filed under the name uncultured bacterium. Its description in RNAcentral is "partial 16S ribosomal RNA". It matches the Rfam family "Bacterial small subunit ribosomal RNA", at positions 338 to 795 of the family's 1533-position model. The record is from RNAcentral.
CCUACGGGAGGCAGCAGUGAGGAAUAUUGCUCAAUGGGCGCGAGCCUGAACCAGCGAAGUAGCGUGAAGGAUGACUGCCCUACUGGUUGUAAACUUCUUUUAUAAAGGAGUAAAGUGAGGCACGUGUGCCUUUUUGUAUGUACUUUAAGAAUAAGGCACGGCUAACUCCGUGCCAGCGGCCGCGGUAAUACGGAGGAUCCGAGCGUUAUCCGGAUUUAGUGGGUUUAAAGGGAGCGUAGAUGGGUUGUUAAGUCAGUUGUGAAAAUUUGCGGCUCAACCGUAAAAUUGCAAUUGAUACUGGCAGUCGUGAGUACAGUUGAGGUAGGCGGAAUUCGUGGUGUAGCGGUGAAAUGCUUAGAUAUCACGAAGAACUCCGAUUGCGAAGGCAGCUUACUAAACUGCCACUGACAUUGAUGCUCGAAAGUGUGGGUAUCAAACAGGAUUAGAUACCCUUGUAGUC